GACGAACGCUGGCGGCGUGCCUAACACAUGCAAGUCGAGCGAACAGACGCGGCGUUUGUUGCUUUCUCGAUUGCCGAGGACGGGAGUGACACAUGAGGAAACUGCCCUUAUCAGACUGGGAACAUCACGGGACAGGGGCGCUUACCGCGGAUAAUAUCCUGCUGCGUAUGGUUCGUUAGUGAGUUUCGGCGGUGGGGUAUGGACUAGCGGCAUAUCAGCUUGUUGGGGGGGUAGUGGAUGACCAAGGCUGUGACGGGUAGGCGGCCUGAGAGGGUGACCGGACACAUUGGGACUGAGAGACGGCACAGACUCCUAAGGGAGGCAGCAGUGGGGAAUAUUGCACAAUGGGAGGAAGCCUGAUGCAGCAACGCCGCGUGCGGGAUGACGGACUUCGGGUUGUAAACCGAUUUCGCCUGUGACGAAGCGUGAGUGACGGUAAUGGGUAAAGAAGCAACGGCUAACUACGUG
RNAcentral lists this ribosomal RNA (468 nucleotides) under uncultured bacterium. Its description in RNAcentral is "partial 16S ribosomal RNA". It matches the Rfam family "Bacterial small subunit ribosomal RNA", at positions 28 to 507 of the family's 1533-position model. The record is from RNAcentral.